AGCAAUGGACCACUCUAAGUGAGGUAGAGAUGCUAGAACUACUGUGUCAGACAGUGGAAGAAGGGAUUAUAAGGCUCAGAAGUGGGCCCAGCAGAGCAGAUGCGGUCUGAAAGGCAGAGCGCCCGCUGGACGGCUGCUCUCCGGGAAGACCUGGAAGAUGCGCCCAUCUACCCAUCAGAAGGAGUGUGCUGGUGAGAGGGGACCCAGCACGGCUAAGAAGCUCCUCUGCCGCUCCUCUCUCUAGGCCAGGAGAAAUUCACGGAAAGGAUUCUGACACUCUAGAAUACAGGCUUCUGAUGAACUUUCUGAUUAUCAAACUGAACUGGGACACAAUUGGAAAAAUUUGGCUUUGACGGGAAUGUUAUAUUUGAGAGAAACAUACAGAAUCAGAUAUGAAAAGACAGCUUUUGAGGAAUAAAGGUUGACUUUCUGGAAUAGAGCCACUUAGAAAUAUUGAUCUGGUACCUUGUUGGCAUGAUUCCCAGCAACCACACUGGGUAAGUAAAGAAGGUCACUUAUCUGACAGGUGCAAGGAAACUCAAUAUUUUGAGGAACCUCAAG
Molecule: long non-coding RNA, 561 nt
Filed under: Equus caballus (horse)
Lineage: Eukaryota; Metazoa; Chordata; Mammalia; Perissodactyla; Equidae
Description: lncRNA (ENSECAG00000050175.1)
Source: RNAcentral